This 495-nucleotide ribosomal RNA is filed under the name uncultured bacterium. Its description in RNAcentral is "partial 16S ribosomal RNA". It matches the Rfam family "Bacterial small subunit ribosomal RNA", at positions 28 to 507 of the family's 1533-position model. The record is from RNAcentral.
GACGAACGCUGGCGGCGUGCCUAGUACAUGCAAGUAGAACGCUGAAGGAGGAGCUUGCUUCUCUGGAUGAGUUGCGAACGGGUGAGUAACGCGUAGGUAACCUGCCUGGUAGCGGGGGAUAACUAUUGGAAACGAUAGCUAAUACCGCAUAAGAGUAGAUGUUGCAUGACAUUUGCUUAAAAGGUGCAAUUGCAUCACUACCAGAUGGACCUGCGUUGUAUUAGCUAGUUGGUGGGGUAACGGCUCACCAAGGCGACGAUACAUAGCCGACCUGAGAGGGUGAUCGGCCACACUGGGACUGAGACACGGCCCAGACUCCUACGGGAGGCAGCAGUAGGGAAUCUUCGGCAAUGGACGGAAGUCUGACCGAGCAACGCCGCGUGAGUGAAGAAGGUUUUCGGAUCGUAAAGCUCUGUUGUAAGAGAAGAACGAGUGUGAGAGUGGAAAGUUCACACUGUGACGGUAUCUUACCAGAAAGGGACGGCUAACUACGUG